This 232-nucleotide ribosomal RNA is filed under the name uncultured bacterium. RNAcentral's name for it is "partial 16S ribosomal RNA". It matches the Rfam family "Bacterial small subunit ribosomal RNA", at positions 99 to 334 of the family's 1533-position model. The record is from RNAcentral.
CGGACGGGUGAGUAAUGUCUGGGAAACUGCCUGAUGGAGGGGGAUAACUACUGGAAACGGUAGCUAAUACCGCAUAAUGUCUGCGGACCAAAGCGGGGGACCUCCGGGCCUCGCGCCAUCAGAUGAACCCAUAUGGGAUUAGCUUGUAGGUAAGGUAACGGCUUACCUAGGCGACGAUCCCUAGCUGGUCUGAGAGGAUGAUCAGCCACACUGGAACUGAGACACGGUCCAG